This 294-nucleotide unclassified non-coding RNA is filed under the name uncultured fungus. RNAcentral describes it as "partial contains 5.8S ribosomal RNA, internal transcribed spacer 2, and large subunit ribosomal RNA". Lineage: Eukaryota; Fungi. The record is from RNAcentral.
AACGCACCUUGCACUCUUUGGUAUUCCGAGGAGUAUGCCUGUUUGAGUGUCAUUAAAUUCUCAAACUACCUCUUGUUUUAGAGGCAGUUUGGAUUUGAGAGCUUGCUGGUUUUCUUUAAAUCAGCUCUCUUUAAAUGCAUUAGUAGUUUGGCUUCGUCCCACAUUCUCAAUUAAUGUGAUAGUUUAUCUACAUUAUUAGAGAAUGAAUCUGCUUAUAACCUGCUUGGUUCUCUUCUGACCAAUGCUUUUUGACAAUUUGACCUCAAAUCAGGUAGGAUUACCCGCUGAACUUAA